AGUGAACGCUGGCGGUAGGCCUAACACAUGCAAGUCGAACGGCAGCACAGUAAGAGCUUGCUCUUACGGGUGGCGAGUGGCGGACGGGUGAGGAAUACAUCGGAAUCUACUUUUUCGUGGGGGAUAACGUAGGGAAACUUACGCUAAUACUGCAUACGACCUACGGGUGAAAGCAGGGGAUCUUCGGACCUUGCGCGAUUGAAUGAGCCGAUGUCGGAUUAGCUAGUUGGCGGGGUAAAGGCCCACCAAGGCGACGAUCCGUAGCUGGUCUGAGAGGAUGAUCGGCCACACUGGAACUGAGACACGGUCCAGACUCCUACGGGAGGCAGCAGUGGGGAAUAUUGGACAAUGGGCGAAAGCCUGAUCCAGCCAUACCGCGUGGGUGAAGAAGGCCUUCGGUUUGUAAAGCCCUUUUGUUGGGAAAGAAAAGCAGCAGGUUAAUACCCCGCUGUUCUGACGGUACCCAAAGAAUAAGCACCGGCUAACUUCGUG
This 492-nucleotide ribosomal RNA is filed under the name uncultured bacterium. RNAcentral describes it as "partial 16S ribosomal RNA". It matches the Rfam family "Bacterial small subunit ribosomal RNA", at positions 29 to 507 of the family's 1533-position model. The record is from RNAcentral.